UCCCAGACUCCUACGGGAGGCAGCAGUGGGGGAUAUUGCACAAUGGGGGAAACCCUGAUGCAGCGACGCCGCGUGAGUGAAGAAGUAUUUCGGUAUGUAAAGCUCUAUCAGCAGGGACGAAAAUGACGGUACCUGAGUAAGAAGCCCCGGCUAACUACGUGCCAGCAGCCGCGGUAAUACGUAGGGGGCAAGCGUUAUCCGGAAUUACUGGGUGUAAAGGGAGCGUAGACGGUGAAGUAAGUCUGGAGUGAAAGGCGGGGGCCCAACCCCCGGACUGCUCUGGAAACUAUUUGACUGGAGUGCAGGAGAGGUAAGCGGAAUUCCUAGUGUAGCGGUGAAAUGCGUAGAUAUUAGGAGGAACACCAGUGGCGAAGGCGGCUUACUGGACUGUAACUGACGUUGAGGCUCGAAAGCGUGGGGAGCCAACAGGAUUAGAUACCCCUGUA
Molecule: ribosomal RNA, 446 nt
Filed under: uncultured bacterium
Lineage: Bacteria
Description: bacterial SSU rRNA
Rfam family: Bacterial small subunit ribosomal RNA
Source: RNAcentral